GUAGGUGGCAAGCGUUGUCCGGAAUUAUUGGGCGUAAAGCGCGCGCAGGCGGUCCUUUAAGUCUGAUGUGAAAGCCCACGGCUCAACCGUGGAGGGUCAUUGGAAACUGGAGAACUUGAGUACAGAAGAGGAAAGCGGAAUUCCACGUGUAGCGGUGAAAUGCGUAGAGAUGUGGAGGAACACCAGUGGCGAAGGCGGCUUUCUGGUCUGUAACUGACGCUGAGGCGCGAAAGCGUGGGGAGCAAACAGGAUUAGAUACCCUGGUAGUCCACGCCGUAAACGAUGAGUGCUAAGUGUUAGGGGGUUUUCCGCCCCCCUUAGUGCUGCAGCUAACGCAUUAAGCACUCCGCCUGGGAGUACGGCCGCAAGGCUG
RNAcentral lists this ribosomal RNA (373 nucleotides) under uncultured organism. Its description in RNAcentral is "partial 16S ribosomal RNA". It matches the Rfam family "Bacterial small subunit ribosomal RNA", at positions 527 to 896 of the family's 1533-position model. The record is from RNAcentral.